UGGGGAAUAUUGCACAAUGGGCGCAAGCCUGAUGCAGCAACGCCGCGUGAACGAUGAAGGUCUUCGGAUCGUAAAGUUCUGUUGCAGGGGAAGAUAAUGACGGUACCCUGUGAGGAAGCCCCGGCUAACUACGUGCCAGCAGCCGCGGUAAUACGUAGGGGGCUAGCGUUAUCCGGAUUUACUGGGCGUAAAGGGUGCGUAGGUGGUCUUUCAAGUCGGUGGUUAAAGGCUACGGCUCAACCGUAGUUAGCCUCCGAAACUGGAAGACUUGAGUGUAGGAGAGGAAAGUGUAAUUCCCAGUGUAGCGGUGCAAUGCGUAGAUAUUGGGAGGAACACCAGUAGCGAAGGCGGCUUUCUGGACUGCAACUGACACUGAGGCACUAUAGCGUGGGUAGCAAACAGG
This 403-nucleotide ribosomal RNA is filed under the name Verrucomicrobiota bacterium. RNAcentral describes it as "Verrucomicrobia bacterium partial 16S ribosomal RNA". It matches the Rfam family "Bacterial small subunit ribosomal RNA", at positions 355 to 776 of the family's 1533-position model. Lineage: Bacteria; Pseudomonadati; Verrucomicrobiota. The record is from RNAcentral.